Molecule: transfer RNA, 65 nt
Organism: Phytophthora infestans T30-4
Lineage: Eukaryota; Oomycota; Peronosporomycetes; Peronosporales; Peronosporaceae
Rfam family: tRNA
About the family: Transfer RNA (tRNA) molecules are approximately 80 nucleotides in length. Their secondary structure includes four short double-helical elements and three loops (D, anti-codon, and T loops).
Source: Rfam
ACCAACGUAGCUCAACGGUAGAGUCCUGGUUUCGGGGGGUGGAGGUUCAAUUCCUCUCGAUGGUA